RNAcentral lists this unclassified non-coding RNA (253 nucleotides) under uncultured Rhodobacterales bacterium. RNAcentral describes it as "contains 16S-23S intergenic spacer region". It matches the Rfam family "Bacterial small subunit ribosomal RNA", at positions 524 to 776 of the family's 1533-position model. The record is from RNAcentral. Lineage: Bacteria; Pseudomonadati; Pseudomonadota; Alphaproteobacteria; Rhodobacterales.
UACGGAGGGGGUUAGCGUUGUUCGGAAUUACUGGGCGUAAAGCGCGCGUAGGCGGAUUGGAAAGUUGGGGGUGAAAUCCCGGGGCUCAACCUCGGAACUGCCUCCAAAACUAUCAGUCUAGAGGUCGAGAGAGUUGAGUGGAAUUCCGAGUGUAGAGGUGAAAUUCGUAGAUAUUCGGAGGAACUCCAGUGGCGAAGGCGGCUCACUGGCUCGAUACUGACGCUGAGUCACGAAAGCAUGGGGAGCGAACAGG